RNAcentral lists this ribosomal RNA (450 nucleotides) under uncultured bacterium. RNAcentral describes it as "partial 16S ribosomal RNA". It matches the Rfam family "Bacterial small subunit ribosomal RNA", at positions 354 to 796 of the family's 1533-position model. The record is from RNAcentral.
GUGGGGAAUUUUGGACAAUGGGCGAAAGCCUGAUCCAGCCAUGCCGCGUGCAGGAUGAAGGCCUUCGGGUUGUAAACUGCUUUUGUACGGAACGAAAAGACUCCUUCUAAUAAAGGGGGUCCAUGACGGUACCGUAAGAAUAAGCACCGGCUAACUACGUGCCAGCAGCCGCGGUAAUACGUAGGGUGCAAGCGUUAAUCGGAAUUACUGGGCGUAAAGCGUGCGCAGGCGGUUAUAUAAGACAGAUGUGAAAUCCCCUGGCUCAACCUGGGAACUGCAUUUGUGACUGUAUAGCUAGAGUACGGUAGAGGGGGAUGGAAUUCCGCGUGUAGCAGUGAAAUGCGUAGAUAUGCGGAGGAACACCGAUGGCGAAGGCAAUCCCCUGGGCCUGCACUGACGCUCAUGCACGAAAGCGUGGGGAGCAAACAGGAUUAGAUACCCGAGUAGUCC